Molecule: ribosomal RNA, 383 nt
Filed under: uncultured soil bacterium
Lineage: Bacteria
Description: bacterial SSU rRNA
Rfam family: Bacterial small subunit ribosomal RNA
Source: RNAcentral
AGAGUGAACGCUGGCGGUAGGCCUAACACAUGCAAGUCGAACGGCAGCACGGUAAGAGCUUGCUCUUAUGGGUGGCGAGUGGCGGACGGGUGAGGAAUACAUCGGAAUCUACCUUUUGGUGGGGGAUAACGUAGGGAAACUUACGCUAAUACCGCAUACGCCCUUCGGGGGAAAGCCGGGACCAGGCAAUGGCCUGGCGCUGAUAGAUGAGCCGAUGUCGGAUUAGCUAGUUGGUGAGGUAAUGGCUCGACCGAAGGCGACGAUCCGUAGCUGGUCUGAGAGGAUGAUCAGCCACACUGGAACUGAGACACCGGUCCAGACGUCCGUACGGGAGGCCGAGCGAGUAGGGGAAUAGUUGGACAAGUCGGGGCGACGUAACGGCC